AUUGUUCUUCUCAUGGGAAGGAGGAGAAGACGAAGUGGCAGAGAAGAACAUUCCAGACAAGUGAGGGAGAGAGGAGAAGGCGAAGUUGCAGAGACGACAGAGAGGAAAGACGAGCGUGCGUUUGCGAUUUGCCUUCGCUCUCACCGAUCAAAGUUCGUAUGGAACAUCUGGAAGAAGUAUUAUAUCUGGAUUGGCCUCCAAACUGCUCUGCCCCAAGACUAUAAAAUGCAUUUCAAUCAUCAUUGUACUGAGGUGGGAUCAAAGAAGAAGAUGGAUGGUUAUUAGUUUGAUGCACUUGUGUUUGGACUCUAUGGCUGAGGUGUUGUUUUAGUCUGUAGGUGCAAGGUAAAAGGAUUCUCACUUUCCUGAUCUUGUAAUCCUACAGUGUGUAUGGAUGGUACAACUUGAAAGAUGAUGGAAUGCUCUGUUACUUUUGGGGCUUUUCUCAUAGUGCAGUGGUUCAUAAGGCCUCCAAGUGGGGUAUUUGAAUGAGAGUGCAACAAUUUGGUUCGCAGGCAAGAUAAGGUGCAUUUACUGGGCACUUGAAGUGGAGGGACAAGUUUAGCUUUCCAAAUUGUAUUUAUGAGAUGUAGAUCCUCUACUGUUUGUGGGUGUCAAUGUAAAUUAUGUAUUUCUGAUAUGAAGCCAGCACUAACCAUCAAAAUUGUAAAUCUAUCUGAGCUCUAUUAGUGGCCGUUACAACUGCCAGAGACUAAACCACAAACCGCCAAUAAAAAAUAAUUUCAAAUAAAA
Long non-coding RNA from Lotus japonicus, 753 nucleotides. RefSeq lists it as uncharacterized. The transcript has 3 exons. NCBI's taxonomy places the organism in Eukaryota, Viridiplantae, Streptophyta, Magnoliopsida, Fabales, Fabaceae. The record is from RefSeq and is a predicted model, not a curated record.